UACGGGAGGCAGCAGGGGGAAUAUUGCACAAUGGGCGAAAGCCUGAUGCAGCUAUGCCGCGUGUAUGAAGAAGGCCUUAGGGUUGUAAAGUACUUUCAUCGGGGAGGAAAAACAAAACUAAUAAUUUUAUUUCUUGACGUUACCCGAAAAAGAAGCACCGGCUAACUCCGUGCCAGCAGCCGCGGUAAUACGGAGGGUGCUAGCGUUAAUCAGAAUUACUGGGCGUAAAGAGCACGUAGGUGGUUUUUUUAAGUCAGAUGUGAAAUCCCUGGGCUUAACCUGGAACUGCAUUUUGAAACUGAAAUACUAGAGUAUCGUAGAGGGAGGUAGAAUUCUAGGUGUAGCGGUGAAAUGCGUAGAUAUCUGGAGGAAUACCUGUGGCGAAAGCGGCCUCCUAAACGAAUACUGACACUGAGGGUGCGAAAGCGUGGGGAGCAAACAGGGAUUAGAUACC
RNAcentral lists this ribosomal RNA (454 nucleotides) under uncultured bacterium. RNAcentral's name for it is "bacterial SSU rRNA". It matches the Rfam family "Bacterial small subunit ribosomal RNA", at positions 340 to 786 of the family's 1533-position model. The record is from RNAcentral.